Molecule: ribosomal RNA, 435 nt
Filed under: uncultured Aquiflexum sp.
Lineage: Bacteria; Pseudomonadati; Bacteroidota; Cytophagia; Cytophagales; Cyclobacteriaceae
Description: bacterial SSU rRNA
Rfam family: Bacterial small subunit ribosomal RNA
Source: RNAcentral
GGUUUAAUUCGAUGAUACGCGAGGACCUUACCUGGGCUAGAAUGUGAAGGAAUGAUAUAGAGAUGUAUCAGUCAGCAAUGACCUGAACAAGGUGCUGCAUGGCUGUCGUCAGCUCGCGCCGUGAGGUGUUGGGUUAAGUCCCGCAACGAGCGCAACCCUGUUAUCAGUUGCCAUCGGGUAGAGCCGGGGACUCUGAUAAGACUGCCUGCGCAAGCAGAGAGGAAGGAGGGACGACGUCAAGUCAUCAUGGCCCUUACGCCCAGGGCGACACACGUGCUACAAUGGCGCAUACAGCGGGUAGCUACCUGGCAACAGGAUGCCAACCUCUAAAAGUGCGUCUCAGUUCGGAUUGGGGUCUGCAACCCGACCCCAUGAAGCUGGAAUCGCUAGUAAUCGCGCAUCAGCCAUGGCGCGGUGAAUACGUUCCCGGACCUU